RNAcentral lists this ribosomal RNA (435 nucleotides) under uncultured bacterium. Its description in RNAcentral is "bacterial SSU rRNA". It matches the Rfam family "Bacterial small subunit ribosomal RNA", at positions 8 to 426 of the family's 1533-position model. The record is from RNAcentral.
AGAGUUUGAUCCUGGCUCAGAAUCAACGCUGGCGGCGUGCCUCAGACAUGCAAGUCGAACGCGAAAGUUCCCUUCGGGGAGCGAGUAGAGUGGCGCACGGGUGAGUAACACGUAGGUAAUCUACCUUUGGAUGGGGAAUAACAACCGGAAACGGUUGCUAAUACCGCAUAAUGCAGCGGCACCUAAUGGUGACAGUUGUUAAAGCGGGGGAUCGAAAGACCUCGCGUCUGAAGAGGAGCCUGCGGCGGAUUAGCUAGUUGGUAAGGUAACGGCUUACCAAGGCGAUGAUCCGUAACCGGCCUGAGAGGGCGGUCGGUCACACUGACACUGACAUACGGGUCAGACUCCUACGGGAGGCAGCAGUCGGGAAUUUUGGGCAAUGGGCGAAAGCCUGACCCAGCAACGCCGCGUGAAGGAUGAAAUCCCUCGGGAUGU